UACGGGGGGAGCAAGCGUUGUUCGGAUUUACUGGGCGUAAAGGGCGCGUAGGCGGCCACCGCAAGUCGGUUGUGAAAUCUCCGGGCUUAACCCGGAAAGGUCAACCGAUACUGCGGGGCUAGAGUGCAGAAGGGGCAAUCGGAAUUCUUGGUGUAGCGGUGAAAUGCGUAGAUAUCAAGAGGAACACCUGAGGUGAAGACGGGUUGCUGGGCUGACACUGACGCUGAGGCGCGAAAGCCAGGGGAGCAAACGGG
This 254-nucleotide ribosomal RNA is filed under the name uncultured bacterium. RNAcentral describes it as "partial 16S ribosomal RNA". It matches the Rfam family "Bacterial small subunit ribosomal RNA", at positions 524 to 776 of the family's 1533-position model. The record is from RNAcentral.